RNAcentral lists this ribosomal RNA (465 nucleotides) under uncultured bacterium. Its description in RNAcentral is "bacterial SSU rRNA". It matches the Rfam family "Bacterial small subunit ribosomal RNA", at positions 53 to 518 of the family's 1533-position model. The record is from RNAcentral.
ACAUGCAAGUCGAGCGGAGGAUCACAUGGAAGCCUCGGGUGGAAGAAGUGAAACUUAGCGGCGGACGGGUGAGUAACGCGUGGGUAACCUGGCUCAGUACAGGGGGGAUAACAGAGAGAAAUUUCUGCUAAUACCGCAUAAGCGCACAGCACCGCAUGGUGCAGUGUGAAAAAACUCCGGGUGGUAUGAGAUGGACCCGCGUCCGAUUAGCCAGUUGCGGGGUAACGGCCACCAAAGCGACGAUCGGUAGCCGGCCUGAGAGGGCGGACGGCCACAUUGGGACUGAGACACGGCCCAGACUCCUACGGGAGGCAGCAGUGGGGGAUAUUGCACAAUGGAGGAAACUCUGAUGCAAGCGACGCCGCGUGGGUGAAGAAGUAUUUCGGUAUGUAAAGCCCUAUCAGCAGGGACGAUAAUGACGGUACCUGAGCAAGAAGCCCCGGCUAACUACGUGCCAGCAGCCGC